GGUUAAGUUAACAAGGGCGCAUGGUGAAUGCCUUGGCACUAGGAGCCGAUGAAGGACGGGACUAACACCGAUAUGCUUCGGGGAGCUGUACGUAAGCUAUGAUCCGGAGAUUUCCGAAUGGGGCAACCCAGCAGUUUUAAUCAACUGUUACCACUAGAUGAAUUCAUAGUCUAGUUGGAGGUAAACGCUGUGAACUGAAACAUCUCAUUAGCAGCAGGAAUAUAAAGAAAUUUCGAUUCCCUAAGUAGCGGCGAGCGAACGGGGAACAGCCCAAACCAAAGUGCUUGCACUUUGGGGUUGUAGGACUGAACAUUUGAGUUACCAAAGAACUUGAUAGUCGAAGGAUUUGGGAAAAUCCGCCAUAGAUGGUGAUAGCCCAGUAGAUUAAAUCAAAUUCUCUCAGUUCAGGAUCCUGAGUACGGCGGAACACGUGAAAUUCCGUCGGAAUCCGGGAGGACCAUCUCCCAAGGCUAAAUACUACCUAGUGACCGAUAGUGAACCAGUACCGUGAGGGAAAGGUGAAAAGCACCCCGGGAGGGGAGUGAAAUAGUUCCUGAAACCAUGUGCCUACAAUAAGUCAGAGCGCGUUAAUGCGUGAUGGCGUGCCUUUUGUAGAAUGAACCGGCGAGUUAUGAUCCCGUGCAAGGUUAAGACUAAAAAGUCGGAGCCAUAGCGAAAGCGAGUCUGAAAUGGGCGAUUUGAGUACGAGGUUAUAGACCCGAAACCAGGUGACCUAUCCAUGUCCAGGUUGAAGGUGCGGUAAAACGCACUGGAGGACCGAACCCGUGUAAGUUGAAAAUUGCUGGGAUGAGGUGUGGAUAGCGGUGAAAUUCCAAACGAACUUGGAGAUAGCUGGUUCUCUCCGAAAUAGCUUUAGGGCUAGCCUCGGAUUAAGGAUCAUGGAGGUAGAGCACUAUUUGGACUAGGGGCCCGUCUUGGGUUACUGAAUUCAGAUAAACUCCGAAUGCCAUUGAUUCAUGUCCGGGAGUCAGACGAUGAGUGAUAAGAUCCACCGUCGAAAGGGGAACAGCCCAGACCAUCAGUUAAGGUCCCUAAAUGUAUGCUAAGUGGAAAAGGAUGUGGAGUUGCAUAGACAACUAGGAUGUUGGCUCAGAAGCAGCCACCAUUUAAAGAGUGCGUAAUAGCUCACUAGUCGAGUGAUCCUGCGCCGAAAAUGUACCGGGGCUAAGCAUACUACCGAAACCAUGGAUGCGACCAUUAGGUCGCGUGAUAGGAGAGCGUUCUAAGGGCGGUGAAGCAAGAUCGUGAGGACUUGUGGAGCGCUUAGAAGUGAGAAUGCCGGUAUGAGUAGCGAAAGAUAGGUGAGAAUCCUAUCCACCGAAUGACUAAGGUUUCCUGGGGAAGGCUCGUCCUCCCAGGGUUAGUCGGGACCUAAGUCGAGGCCGAGAGGCGUAGACGAUGGAUAACAGGUUGAGAUUCCUGUACUAGUUAAGUGCGUUUGAGCAAUGGAGGGACGCAGGAGGCUAAGAUGUGCAUUCUGUUGGAUUAGAAUGUCCAAGCAGUAAGUCUUGUGAAGAGUCAAAUGCUUUUCACUUUAAGGACAAGCUGUGAUGGGGAGCGAAAUUUAGUAGCGAAGCGUCUGAUGUCACACUGCCGAGAAAAGCUUCUAGUGAGUACUUAACUACCCGUACCGCAAACCGACACAGGUAGUCGAGGAGAGAAUCCUAAGGUGAGCGAGUGAACUCUCGUUAAGGAACUCGGCAAAAUGACCCCGUAACUUCGGGAGAAGGGGUGCUGAUCGCAAGAUCAGCCGCAGUGAAUAGGCCCAGGCGACUGUUUAUCAAAAACACAGGUCUCUGCAAAAUCGUAAGAUGACGUAUAGGGGCUGACGCCUGCCCGGUGCUGGAAGGUUAAAAGGAUGGGUUAGCUUCGGCGAAGCUCAGAAUUGAAGCCCCAGUAAACGGCGGCCGUAACUAUAACGGUCCUAAGGUAGCGAAAUUCCUUGUCGGGUAAGUUCCGACCCGCACGAAAGGCGUAACGAUCUGGGCACUGUCUCAACGAGAGACUCGGUGAAAUUAUAUUGUCCGUGAAGAUGCGGACUACCCGCGACAGGACGGAAAGACCCCAUGGAGCUUUACUGUAGCUUGAUAUUGAGUGUUUGUACAGCUUGUACAGGAUAGGUAGGAGCCAUAGAAACCGGAACGCUAGUUUCGGUGGAGGCGUUGGUGGGAUACUACCCUCGCUGUAUGACCACUCUAACCCGCACCACUAAUCGUGGUGGGAGACAGUGUCAGGUGGGCAGUUUGACUGGGGCGGUCGCCUCCUAAAAAGUAACGGAGGCGCCCAAAGGUUCCCUCAGAAUGGUUGGAAAUCAUUCGCAGAGUGUAAAGGCACAAGGGAGCUUGACUGCGAGACAGACAGGUCGAGCAGGGACGAAAGUCGGGCUUAGUGAUCCGGUGGUACCGUAUGGAAGGGCCAUCGCUCAACGGAUAAAAGCUACCCUGGGGAUAACAGGCUUAUCUCCCCCAAGAGUCCACAUCGACGGGGAGGUUUGGCACCUCGAUGUCGGCUCAUCGCAUCCUGGGGCUGUAGUCGGUCCCAAGGGUUGGGCUGUUCGCCCAUUAAAGCGGUACGCGAGCUGGGUUCAGAACGUCGUGAGACAGUUCGGUCCCUAUCCGUCGCGGGCGUAGGAAAUUUGAGAGGACCUGUCCUUAGUACGAGAGGACCGGGAUGGACAUACCUCUGGUGUACCAGUUGUGCCGCCAGGCGCAUCGCUGGGUAGCUACGUAUGGAUGUGAUAAACGCUGAAAGCAUCUAAGUGUGAAACACACCUCGAGAUGAGAUUUCCCAUUCCUUUAUGGAAGUAAGACCCCUGAAAGAUGAUCAGGUAGAUAGGUUAGAAGUGGCAGUGCGGUGACGCAUGAAGCGGACUAAUACUAAUCGGUCGAGGACUUAACCAA
This 2921-nucleotide ribosomal RNA is filed under the name Lactiplantibacillus pentosus. RNAcentral's name for it is "23S ribosomal RNA". It matches the Rfam family "Bacterial large subunit ribosomal RNA". The record is from RNAcentral. Lineage: Bacteria; Bacillati; Bacillota; Bacilli; Lactobacillales; Lactobacillaceae. RNAcentral also lists the same sequence under 1 other name.